Molecule: ribosomal RNA, 497 nt
Filed under: uncultured bacterium
Lineage: Bacteria
Description: partial 16S ribosomal RNA
Rfam family: Bacterial small subunit ribosomal RNA
Source: RNAcentral
GAUGAACGCUGGCGGCGUGCCUAAUACAUGCAAGUCGAGCGAACAGACGAGGCGCUUGCUCCUUCGACGUUAGCGGCGGACGGGUGAGUAACACGUAGUUAACCUACCUAUUCGACUGGGAUAACUUAGGGAAACCGGAGCUAAUACCGGAUAAUAUUUCGAACCGCAUGGUUGGAUAGUGAAAGCUGGCUUUGCUAUCAUUUAUAGCUGUCCCUGCGCCGUAUUGGUUAGUUGGUAAGGUAACGGCUUACCAAGGCGACGAUACGUAGCCGACCUGACAGCGUGAUCCCCGCCUCUGGGGGUGGACCACGACCCUGACACCGACGGAAGGCCCCGACUCCUACGCGUGGCAGAUGGGCGGAAUCCUGACGGAGCAGCGCCAGCCUAGUGAAGAAGCGCUUCGGAUCGUAUGACGCUGUUAUGAUUGAAAAACAAACGUGUAAGGAACUGAGCACUUCGUGACGGUACCUAGACAGAAAGCCACGGCUAACUACGUG